Molecule: long non-coding RNA, 3457 nt
Organism: Anguilla anguilla (European eel)
Lineage: Eukaryota; Metazoa; Chordata; Actinopteri; Anguilliformes; Anguillidae
Exons: 3
Source: RefSeq, a predicted model, not a curated record
AACAAUCCUAGAGAGCCAUGGGAUAGAUGUCCAGAGCCCAGGAGGCCACUCCAACAGUGACGAUAUUGAUGGCAACGAUUACUCUGAGCAGGGCUGCGAUGUCCCCUAUUUUGAAAAGAGACCUCUGCCUAGACCCUUUGGUUUCUACAGACUUGAACCCUCGUCACCAACACAGGAUGAUAGCAUCAGCCACAGUGACCAUCAGGACCCCAUUUCCCUAGCCGUGGAGAUGGCCGCUGUCAACCACACUAUUCUGGCCCUGUCAAGGCCAGGGGCCGUCUCUGGGGACAUCAAGACAGAGGCUCUGGAAGAUGACUGAGGGGUGGGGCAGGGGGAUGAAGAGGGCAUGUUUGGAGCAGCAGGGGAAAGGGACAAGCAUGUGACUGUGGGUACAUUUGGUUGCAGUGGAGGCAUUAAAUAAUGACCAAAACUACAUGUAAUCUGUAGAUUUUAGAAACCUGUUUUGAAUUUACCCCCAUCCCCUGCCUGACCUUCUACUUCCCUACCAUCACCUUCCUCCAUAGAGCCCCUACCUGCGCCCAGGUUUUUUCUUUUAUUAGCUUGUUUAUUUAAAUACAAAUCUCACCCAGAUGCCAGCCCUCUCCUUGUGUGACACUAGGAGAUACAAACCACGUUUGGGGCAGUAGAGUUCAUGGUCUCCCUGUCCCUACUUCCUGUAGCUGUGUUCCUAAAGCCUGUGUGUGCACAAUGCUGGGGGCCUCUCCUAGUCAGUCUUGUCACAGCGCUUGUCAAAGGGCAAGGUGAGUGAACUGUUCAGUUUUGGUUAAGAACAAUCUUGGGUAUGGCAGCCUGUGAAGACAUAUUAGAGGAGAUAAUUGUUGGAUUUUCAUCCAACAGGUUUGAAGUGAGUCCAAGAUGAGAGAUUUCAAAAAUCUGUUUUGUUUUGUAUGUUAGCUGUAUUCUCAAUACAAAAUGAAGAGAUGUGUUUGAUGUAGGAAUUGGAUUCCCUGGCCUUCUUCCAAAAUGACAAAGUUGACUUUAAUAAGUGUAGGCUAAAACGUGCAGGUGGAAAAAAGACUGUACAAACAUGCAGCUGGUUGGAUUGCAUCAUGGAGAGGUCAGAUUUCAGUGCAUGGUCCUAUUUUGAUCAAUUUUGUGGGUAUGUGUGUUCAGCAUAAGAGUUGCAGUACAUUUACAUUUUGAGGAUGCCAACUCAAAGUGUUAGAUGCAAUAGUUGUGUUGUAGUAUGAUGAAGGCGCUGGUAGUGGUAGAAAAUAUCUGUCCUCCCCCUUUGUGCAAGUCAGGGGGCAACAUUUUUCUAAUCUCCUCCGAUCUGCAUUAUGUAAAAUUUACAUAUGGUAUAUACUGGCUGCAAGUUUUCAGCACCAAGGCUUUAACUUCAGGUUGAUCCUUCUACAAUAGUACAGCUUUCUACAGUGCCUGAACAAAGGUUAUGUGUUCUCCUUUUUAAUUACGUUAAAAAGUGAAAAAGUUCAGUGCUUUUAUAAGUCUCGUUGACGAUUGUAAAAUAUGAUUAAAAUGUAACUAAGGUGUUAUUAGCAGUGGUAUAAUUCCCUAUCUAAUCAUUGCCCCACACUUCUCUGCUAUAUAUAUAUAUAUUGUCCCUAGUUGAAGAUGACAUAUGGUUGUGAUUUCAGUAUGUGAGUGUUGUCUGGCAGCCAUCCCAAGGAUCAGUUCUUACUAGUGCGCCAGGGGCCCUGUGUGUCCCUGUAGUUUUGGAGUCUGUUCAGGGGUGCUGUGUUCCCUUGUAGUCUACUAGUUUCCUUGAGCAGACUGAGGAAUUCUAACAUGUCCAUGUUCAGGAGAGCAAAGCUCAGCUUGGCAUAAGAGAAAGAAUGGACUGAUGCAAAGUUGUCAAAUCUAUAUAAACUUAGCCAGACAGAUGUCUUAAUUGGUGUGAUAGGUAUAUUGCAAUGGAUGGGGAGUUUUUUUAUAAGACUGAAUGUGAUGCACACCAAUAUACACUUUCGGACAAUGUACACACUUAAAAUGGUAAUGUAGGCUAAAACUGUUAUGGGAAAAAAAAAAAUUAUCUAUAGCUUAUAUAUAAUGUAUGUCAUUGUAUGCUUAUGAACGCAACAUGUCAUAGCACAUGCAGUGCCUCAGAAGCCAGAUAUUUGUGAAGCCGUAUUGACAUUUUCGUUUCUAUUCUCUAUUCUGUUGUUGAAUCACAAUGCUAGAUGGAUUUAAAAGUCAGUUGAAUUUACACUCACCAAACACUUUAUUAGGUACACCUGUUAACUGCUCGUUAGCGCAAAUAUCUAAUCAGCUAAUCACGUGGCAGCAACUCAAUGCAUUUAGGCACGUAGACAUGGUCAAGACGAUCUGCUGAAGUUCAUACCAGGCAUCCAGAAUGGGGAAGAAAGGUGAGUAUUUCAGAAAUUGCUGAUCUGCUGGGAUUUUCACGCACAACCAUGCCUAUGGUUUACAGAGAAUGGCCCUAAAAGAGACAAUAUCCAGUUUGCGGCAGUUCAUUGAGCAAAAAUGUUGUUGAUGUUCAGAGGAGAAUGGCCAAACUUGUUCGGGCUGAUAGAAAAGCAACAGCAAUCAAAUAACCACUCGUUACAACCGAGGAAUGCAGAAGAGCAUCUCUGAACACACAACACGUCGAACCUUGAAGCAGAUGGGCUAGAGCAGAAGAAGACCACACCUGGUGCCACUGUGUACCUAAUAAAGUGGCCGGUGAGUGUAUAUGUUUACCACUGAUGAGAUAAACCAAAUAAUCUGGUCUUAAAUGUAAGAACAGGUAAGUAUUGAGUGUCGGUGACUGUGUGUGUGUAUCUGAAUUAGUCACAAGAAAGACAUGCUUCAGUGAUGACCCGGCAACGCAAUUGCAGGCUUAGUUUCAAAGGUCAUGUCAAAAUUUCAAGCUAUUUCAUAUCCUUUCAAUUUGUAAUAAAAUUGUUUAGCUCAUAGUAUUGUAAAAGUAAAUAUAUAUAUAUAUAUAUAUAUAUAUAUAUAUAUAUAUAUAUUCCGGUCAUGAGUUUUGGGGUACUCAAGGUCAACUCAUGGAGAUUAAUCUCAAUCUGUUUUGGACUAAGAAAAUGGGACGGUAAUACCAACUUCAAAUUGGUGCAAACUUUUGCCAUGAUAUCUCCCCUUCCCCCUCUGUCUCUUCCUAGAAAAUUUUUAAAGCAAGAUAUACGGACCGUGUGAUUCUGAAGGGGGUGCUUUGCAUCUUGUUUUCUAGGGUUCAGGGCUCACAUUCCUGAGUGUCCACCUGUCCUUGUUACAUUAUAUGGAGAAUGCAAGAAAGUUCUUUAAGAAAACGUACCGAAUUGAAAAAGUUCUACUGUAUAUCUUUGUAUCUGCUAUAUCAGAAUAUAGUGCCUUUAUUGGACAGUAGACUGUUCUGAAAUUAAUCUAGUAUAUAUAAAUAAACUUUUUGUACAGUUUCUUUAAGAAAACUUUUUUUUUUACUUGUGUUUAUUUUAGUAUUGUACGCAAUAGAGAAUAAAGGUAUAUCAAUGACAAA